RNAcentral lists this long non-coding RNA (7757 nucleotides) under Lactuca sativa (garden lettuce). RNAcentral describes it as "long non-coding RNA (LSAT_LNC005048)". The record is from RNAcentral. Lineage: Eukaryota; Viridiplantae; Streptophyta; Magnoliopsida; Asterales; Asteraceae.
GGGGACAGGAGUGAGUGGGGUACCCUGUCUCUAAGAGAGACCUCUGCAUGAUUGGAUAGUUGAGGAGGUUUCGCGAGCCAUUCACGAGGAUCUGCCCGACAUGGUCGUGAGGGUCACUGGUAGGUUGACCGCGAAGCUCCAGGAUUAGUCAGCUGUUGUUCAGACGUCGGAUGGGGUCGACGAGGUAACGCAGGAGCGAGAGACAGGCAGGGAGUCGGAAAGGAAGAGGAAAACGGAUGAGAAUCAGGUAGCCACAGGUUCGGGCAUAAGGCCUAAGGGGUCGGAUUUGAGAUCGAGGGACUAUCAGAGCGACAGUCGAUGCGGGAAGUGUGGUAGGGCACACAAGGGUGUGUGCAGGCGUAGAUGUGGUGGCGAUGUUGGAUGUUUCAAGUGCGGCCGGAUUGGCCAUUUUAGCAGAGAUUUUACUGUUACCAUCACCCUGGAACUUGUCCCGAUAUGUUUCCAUUGCAGUCGGAGGGGCCACAAGAAGGCCAAUUGUCCGAGUUUGUAUACAACAAAGCAGGUGAUAGCUCCUACCCCUGUGACUCCGAGUACCACCAGCGGUUGUCGGGGCCGGGCAAGGACGCCCACGGCUCGGAGUAGAGUAUUCCGGAUGAUAUCAACAAGGAUUCGUGCAACACUGGAUGUUGGGGGUACGUAUCUUUUACUUUCCUGUCAAUUAUUAUUCAUGAUAUUAUUGUUAUGUUGCUGCAUUGAUAUCAAUAAGCAUAUGUGUUGGGGUAUUAUAUUACCUGCUUGUAACGGAGUUUUAUGCCACCUGCAUACCUUGGAAUUAGAAUGGCAAAUUGGAGGUUGUCCCCUCUAGAUCAGGUUACUUCAUAUGCGGUGACUGUAGCAUGUAUAUGUAAGAAUCAGUAAUGCCUCACUACUUUCAAAAGGUGUCAUUCGGGAUUGAUCAGUUAAAUCCUUAGUAGUGACAAUUUAGAGCUUCUAGUGAGGUAGCCAGCGGACAGUAAGGAAGUGGGUUGGGGAUGUGCACCCCAAACGGAGGUUCUCAGGAUGUAGUCCCUAAAGCAAAUACAGUUAAGGAUUGAAAGGUGCUCAGUUAGAUAGCAAGAAUGGUUCGGAUCUGGUAAAAGUUAGUUGGAGCACCGGCAGAGGUAAAUAUUGGCGGACAACAUAUCGCCCUUUUAAUGGAAGGACGGUCGGGGAAUCCUUUCGACCAGUGAGUAGUAAAGAGUUAGCCGAAUCCAAGUGGGGGAGAACCCUCCGAGUAUACAAGGGUAAGAGCACGCAGACCCAGAAUGAGUACACGACCUCAGAGAAGAAAAGAUAGUAGUGCAGUGAUUGAUGGAUUGAGGAGUUCAGGAUUGGGAGUUUGAGGUUCUUCCCAACAGUUAGUUCAUGUAAUCGAGAUGGUUAGUAGCUGGUUGGCAAUCCAGGAUUAGAAGAAGGCCUAUAGGACUCUAGUGAGUCUGAAUGAGGAUCUUGAGAACGGUUAGCAAGAGAUGCUUUCGUGUUAGUAGUCAGUGGUAGAGACGACAUGCAACAUUGUGUGGAUUUAAUAGUUGGGGGUUUGGAAACUUCCCAACGAUAGUUUCAUAUAUCCGGAUUAGUAGAUGGUUGGUUUAGGAACCAAGCCGAAGAAUUUCUCGACGGAACGCUAAGUGUAUCAAGGAUAUAAGAUGUCGAGGUUGAUGCAACAUUCGAUGACUGAGGGUUGGUUUUGCAAAAUCAGGAUGAGGAAUCAUUAGCAGGACUAUGGAUAGUCAGGAUGUCCUCGGAAUAGUAGUUAGUAAAGCCGUUGGAUAGUAGUAGAGUGUUGUAAGAGUGCGGGGGUAGCCGUAGCACUCACUAGCAGUCAGAUAGUAGUAGAGUGUUGUAAGUCUGUGGGGGUAGCCGUAGCAUUCACUUGCGGUCAGAUAGUAGUAGAGUGUUGUAAGUCUGUGGAUGUAGCCGUAGCAUUCGUCAGGUUAGUAGAUAGCAUGAGCGCGUUGUUUGGACAUGGGGGAAAUAGUAGUACCCACCAGUUCAGGUGCAGCAGUGAAGAUAUGGGAAUCCACAGGCUAGAUUUUGGAUUUCCCAAAUGGUUCAGUUAUGGUUAAGCCGGCGAUUCGACAGUUGGAUCGUCACCACAGUUAUCAGAUCAGGGUACCAGUGGACCGUUUGAGUUCGUGUAUGUUAAGGGCUACAGUUAGUCUGGGAGCCAUCAUGUUUUAGUCGUGGAAUUGAUGAUGUCAGGAUGUGACCUUUGGACCUGAUCGGUGGACUGGGAGGUUGUUAGAGCCACAGUGACAGGAUAACUAGUGGAAACUAGUUCCAGAGAAAGAUUUCGUUCAGAAGUCGUGGGAUCGACUAAGUGAGGAGUCGUUGGACUCGAUAGUUGAGUUGGAACUCGGUGUUGCAGAUAACCGACGAAUGAUUGGAGAUCAGGAAGGUCUUGAGAUAUUUUGGGAAGCAGUCAUAUAGGCAGUUCGGUGCUUCAAACAGUUCAGUGUUUCAGGCAGUUCAGUGUUUCAUGCAUGUUCAGUGUUUCAUGAAGUUCAGUGUUUCAGGCAGUUCAGUGUUUUAGGCAGUUUAGUGUUUCAGGCAUGUUCAGUGUUUCAGGAAGUUCAUUAUUUCAGGCAGUUCAGUGUUGUAGGCAGUUCAGUGUUUUGGAUAGUUUUAGAGUUAUGGACAGUAUUAGUAUUUGUUUUGGAAUGCAAAUGCUGAUGGUAUAGUUGGUUGAUUUGGAAAUGGCAAGUCCAUCUCAGCAGGAUCAAUUGAGUCUUCUGCCAAGUAUAAGUGAUAUGCAAGGGUAAUUAGGCAGGUAGCCUUUCUUUCAGGAUGGAAGACUCAAGUUAUUGGAAGUUGAGUAGUCAGAUGAGAGAUAAGUAGGCUGGUUCCAGCAACAUCGAUUCGGUAUGAGUGGCAGAAUGGAAAGAACAAUUAUAGAUAGUUGAAGUAUCUUCAGAAGUCGGUGGAAGCAACCAGGAGAUUGCGAUGGGGUGUAGUGACCGGUGGGAGUCCGGUAACCCAGAUAUCGGCAGAUUAGUUGGACCAGGGUGGUCUCAGUGCAUCCGGUAGGCGGGUGAGGGGGGGGGNNAGGGGGGGGGGGAGGGGGGGGGGGGGGGGGGGCAACAGAAAUUUCAGUCAAAGGCAGUAACGACAAGGGAAGUAUGGUAAGAGGUAGCAAGUUGGAAGAGGUUUCCACGCCUCUCACGACAGGGUUGGAUGAUAUCAGAGGGGAGGGUUUGACCUUGUUGCGCAGCACUCGUAUGAGUCUUAACCGUUGCAGGGAUGAAUCUUUCACUCGAAGGAUUAUCUAAUCCAUUCGCUGGGAUGGGUGCUCAGCACCAAGUUAUGGAAAUAAGAAGCAUUCAGUAUGUACCAGUAGUAGUGACCAACACUGAGUGUAGCUGGAGUGAUGGACAAAAGGGUUAAAGUCACCAGGCAGGGUGUUUGAGGCGAAUUACAGGUCAGUUGACCAUAGAGAACCUCGAGGACGAAGUUUAGUUUAAGUGGGGGAGAGUUGUAACACUCGAAAUUAGAAAUGUCAAGAAAGGAAAGGAAAACCAUAAGUUAAAGAGGGUCGAAUCGUAGAGUCCAGGGAGGAACUCGGCGAGUCGGAGCGGGAUCUGGGUGUAAAGUAAGUGACCGACUCGGCGAGUCAGCAAGUGGACUCGGUGAGUCUGGUCUGGGUUGGGAAACCCUAAUUCCGGGACUUGGUACCCUAUUUAAGCAUCUUAUUCUCUUCCCUAGGGCUCAUUUACGGCCCCUAUAGUCUAGAACCCCAAACCCUAGCCACCAUAACCGUUUUUUGAGCAAGAUCUACCCUUGGUGAAGUAAUUUGGAGCUUGGAAGAGAUGAGAUUCAUAGUGGUGCAAGAGGAGGCCUUGGAUCCAGAGUUGGUGGAACUUUUUAGAGCAUUUGGUGGUAAUGAAUCGUUAUCCUUGGCUUUCUCCUUUCUAGAUCCAUCUUUCAUGGAGUUUUAGGGUUUCUUUGAGAGUAAGUGAUGAAAAGUGGGUGCACAAGUUCGAUCUAGAGUUGAAACUCCAGAUCUGAGCUCUAUUUGGACCAAAAGAUGCAGAAAGCCCUGUUAGUUGCUAUGCAAAAUCCAUUCCCCAUGAUUUAAGUUCCUUUCUAGCUUGGUUUUGGUAUUAUGAGACAAGAAGCACGUAAAGGUAACAACUUUAUGUUGCUAAUGGACUAUAGGAACCCAGAUCUAUUGUUUGGAGCAAAGGAGUAGCUCUGUGACUCGAGAUCAUGAGAAUACACGAAAGGACUCGGCGAGUCUGGGAGAUGACUCGGCGAGUCGGGCUAGAUAUCAGACUUAAAUCGCGUAGCAACUCGGCGAGUCACAUGGGUGGACUCGGCGAGUUGGAUGAAGAUAGGCAGGAACUCGAUGAGUUGGAAGAACAACUCGGCGAGUCUGUUGAAGAUUGCCUUGGACUCGGCGAGCCUGUUCUUGGACUCGGCGAGUCAUGUCAUGAAACCCCAAACCCUUCUAGUUAAGACUCGGAUCAGUGAGUUGAGUGAAGACUCAGUGAGUUGGACAGGACCGCACUAGGAAAUCAGUAGACUCAGCGAGUCAUGGUCGGACUCGGCGAGUCGAGUCGUGAAUGAAAGGGGUUUCUGAGCUUGUGAACUCGGAGAGUCAGUAGGCUGACUCGGCAAGUAGGGUCAACCUGGAAGGUUGAAUGUGACCAGGACUUUGACUUUGACUAGAGCUGACUUAGUUGACUUUUGGAGGACUAUCAGACUAAGUGUCAUGUUGAUAUUGGUAGCUCGGAGAGCUAGAUGAGCAGCGACUCAGAGGGUUGUCGGUUAGAAGCCAGAGGGUUAUCAGCAGAGCUCAGCAGCUCAUGUGAGUUUCCUUCCAGUAGGAACGGGUCUAAGGCCACAAUGCCGACCCGUGUAGCUUGCAGUAGUUUCUGGACUUCGGUCCGACGCAGUAGUUAGUAUGUUUGAUGCCUUCGUGGCUCAGACAGGAUUUAUGUGUUAUGUGUUUUGGGCUACGGCCCGAUGCAGUAUGCAGUUUAUGUGUUCAUGCUAGUGGAUAUGUUUAUGCUAUGCUAUGUUCAGUCAGUUUUCGGUCUUCGGUCCGAUGCAGGGGGCAAGGCCCCAGUUAGCUUCCUGACUUCGGUCCGAUGCAGGGGACAAGGUCCCAGUUAGUUUCCGAACUUCGGUCCGAUGCAAGGGGCAAGGCCCCAGUUAGUCCGGACUUCGGUCCGAUGCAGGGGACAAGGUCCCAGUCAGUUUCCGGACUACGGUCCGAUGCAGGGGGCAAGGCCCUAGUUAGUCCAGACCUCGUCCCGAUACAGUGGGCAAGGCCCAAUAUGUGCUUUAUAUGUUUGUAUGGUAUGUGGUAGUUUGGGGGAGCUCACUAAGCUUUGUGCUUACUGUUUGCAGUUUUUGGUUUCAGGUACUCAGUUUUCAAAAGAGGAGCUCGGAGAGGUUGCAGCACACACACCAUAGUCAGUUAGCCUGGGAAUGUUUUACUCUGAUAAUAAGAUUAUGUUUUCAAUUGAUACUCGAAAACUAUGUUAUGACUUAUGAUACAGUUUUUAUAAACAUGGUUUUAGUAAUGUUUUAAAAGAAAUUUUUAGUCGUGAUUUUGGGUCGUUAGAAUUCGGUAUCAGAGCCUUGGUUUGAGGGAUUCGGACACACUUGAGAGUGUGUCUGGACUCAAACUAAGGGAGCGGUAAAAAGGUUUUCAAAAGAAGAACAUUUUUUAAAAGAAUUCUAGUAAAAGGAGUUGUGAAAAGAAAAGAGUUUUAGAAAAAGCGAAAGGAAUAUUUAGAAAGAAAAUAACUUGAAAGGAGAAAAAGUGUGUGGUGCAUGCAGUCAACCGAGCUCAAGUAUGUACUCCCAAAUUACCCAUACGAGUUUAUGAUCAUCAGUUUCAGUUUCAGUUUUAGUUCCAGUUUCAGUUUCAGUUUCGGUUUCAGUAGAACAACAUGCUAGUAUAGGACUAAGGAUCUAGGAGGAUGCCUUAUGUGCCUGUUUUAUGUGUUUUAGCUUGAUAAGAAUUGCAUGCUAGUAUUUAGUAGACAGUAGUAGGAUAUCCUGUGUAGGUUAUGCCUGAUAGUAUGACCUUAACAUUAUAUGCUAGUACAGUUUCUUGUUAUGAGAAUAGUUUUGCAUGAGUAUGUUUCCUUUAUCCGAAUGUUGCUCGCUUUGUGCUUUGUGGGACUCUGAGUGACAGGAGUUAGCGAUUAGGUGAAUACGUCACAUCACAUGUGAUCAGGGUUGAAUAAUCUCAAAGUGCUGGAUUUGGCCCUACUGCACAACUCUCGUUUGAGUCUAACCGUUUUAGGGACGAGUCUUUUACCCGAAGGAUUAUCCGAGGCUCAUUGCAUGUGAUGGUGUUCAGGUGGUGGCUAAUUGGCAUUACAAGGAGGCCUUCAGCAGCUGAGGACUGGUUUGGGUGGUGUCAGAAGUUCUAUAGGGCAAGCCUAGGAAGGUAGUAGCAGAGACCAGUAGUAGUAGAGUGACUUGGUGGAAUUGAGGUAACUCUUGAGGAAAGUACGGAUAGAUGUGGAAGGUAGUAUGGGCCAGUACUACUGAAAGCAGAGGAUCCGUACUCAAAUCAAGAGAAGCCGAGACAAGACCAGGGAACUUUUAGAGUGUGUGAGAGAUCCCUCAGCAGCGGUAUGUAUAUUGAUCAGGAAGUGUUAUUUUUUCAGGAUGGUGACAUUGCGCGAAUUACCAGUUAGCAGUUCAGGUACCGGGGAGGGAUCUGGCUCAGGCUUUGGAGCUGGGUAGCUUGAUGAUCAGAUGAGGGAUUUCAUCUCCGCAGAGAUUAUGCGCAACAUCAUUGAUCAGACUCCAGUAAUUUUCGACUCGGUUAGAGAGGCCAUCGUGGAGCUUAUGGAUAGUCAUCUUGAGGCCUUUAGGGUCGGGAUAGUUUCAGGACAGAUUGGGGCUCGUCUAGAUCCCGAUUCUUAUGGAAUUCAGGGAUCCAUUAGGGAUGGAGAUCCCAUUUCUAGUUUUUUCCAUCAGGGGACAAGAGUGAGUGGGGCACCCUGUCUCCAAGAGAGACCUAUGCAUGAUUGGAUAGUUGAGGAGGUUUCGCGAGCCAUUCACGAGGAUCUGCCAGACAUGGUCGUGAGGAUCACUGGUAGGUUGACCACGAAGCUCCAGGAUCAGUCAACUGUUGUUCAGACGUCAGAUGGGGUCGACAAGGUAACGCAUGAGCGAGAGACGGGCAGGGAGUCGGAAAGGAAGAGGAAAACGGAUGAGAGUCAGGUAGCCACAGGUUCAGGAAAAAGGCCCAAGGGGUAGGAUUUGAGAUCGAGGGACUAUCAGAGCGGCAGUCGAUGUGGGAAGUGUGGUAGGGCGCACAAGGGUUCAUGCAGGCGUAGAAGUGGUGGCGUUGUUGGAUGUUUUAAGUGCGGCCGGAUUGGCCAUUUUAGCAUAGAUUGUACUGUUACCAUCACCCAGGAACUUGUUCCAAUAUGUUUCCAUUGCAGUCGGAGGGGCCACAAGAAGGCCCACUGUCCGAGUUGGUAUACAACAAAGCAGGUGAUAGCUCCUGCCCCUGUGACUCCGAGUACCAGCAGCGGUUGCCGGGGCCGGGCAAGGACGCCCACGGCUCAGAGCAGAGUAUUCUGGAUGAUUUCAAGAAGGAUUCGUGCAACAUUGGAUGUUGGGGGUACGUAUCUUUUACCUUCCUGUCAAUUAUUAUUCAUGAUGUUAUUGUUAUGUUGCUGCAUUGAUAUCAAUAAGCAUAUGUGUUGGGGUAUUAUAUUACUUGCUUUUGACGGAGUUUUAUGCCAUGUGCGUACCUUGGAAUUAGAAUGGCAAAUUGGAGG